GGGAACGUGUCUUCUUCGGUCCUUUGUCUCUCAGCAAAGGCGGUCAAAGAAGUGGGACAAUUGUGACUGUGGUUUCUACUCCGGUGUGUGCAGUGCCUAGCGCAGUGGUGUCCCAUUCUGGAUGGGGUCUUAGGCACUACCCUUUAUAAGCCUUCUUCCUGCAUCACUUGGUGCUAGUCGAACAGGCAGGACUGGAACAACAGAGGGCACGUGUAAAAGGACUGAAAAGCAUGGGCAGCACUGUGUGGUGGGCCCGGAUUAGGACAGCAGGGAGCAAACAGUGCAACGCCCAUUGCCGAAAGGGAGCGCAGCAGCAGCUCCGGGGACAGCUGCUACCUGUGUGAGCAACUUGUCAGUACUUCCAAGUCUAUGGGGCUGAAUCAGAAGCUGCUUUGCAAAAUGCAGGAGAAAUCCCCUGUCUUCUUUCUGAUCGUGGCUGGGCUGCUGGGUCUGUCUGAAAUGAGCCUCAUUCCAGUGAAAUGGUAGGCCAGAGAUUUCUCAGAGAAACCCGACUGAGCACAGAGAGCAGCCCAGGGACCAGUGCAGUGUUUUCCAUCACGGAAGACAACACAGCCAAGGUGAUGUAUAAAUUGCAAAGUGUCACAACUGACCCUACAAACAACAAAUUACCCCACUCACCUGAGGCUACAGCCAACUUCAGUGCACUGCACGCAGUGACAGCCUUUGCAAAGAAUACAGACAAGCUACCUAGAGAAUCAAGCAGAAACUCAGAUGUGUCUGAACAACUGCAGACAGAAGAAGAAGUUUUAAAUCUCCAGGACCAUGGCACUGUUACUUUGAGUAGCAUGAGCAUUCCCAUCUCAAGGGGGAAAAUGGACUCUUCCACUCUUACGAAAGAUCCAAAGGAGUUACCGCCAGGAAAAGCAGAAAGGGAAACUGCUACCAGAAUUGACCUGUCCAGUCCCACUUGCAGUGAGAUGGCACUCAUAGAACCACAUGCAUUUCAGCCCCUCACUGUUGAGAUUGCAAGCUCUAGGCUGCCUGGUGGCAUCAUGUGGACUGCGACUCCAAAUUCCAGAAUCUCUCUCGUGACUUCAAUUAUAAAUUCUCACAAGCUGGACGAAAACCAGAAAGAAACACCAGCAUCUUCAUUUCCGCUCAAAAUCAUGCAGGCUCUCAAGGACAGCGACAGAUCCAU
Mauremys reevesii (Reeves's turtle) is the source of this 1159-nucleotide long non-coding RNA. RefSeq lists it as uncharacterized. NCBI's taxonomy places the organism in Eukaryota, Metazoa, Chordata, Testudines, Geoemydidae. The record is from RefSeq and is a predicted model, not a curated record. The transcript is spliced from 4 exons.